UACGUAGGGACCGAGCGUUGUCCGGAUUCAUUGGGCGUAAAGAGCUCGUAGGCGGCUGCUCAAGUCGAAUGUGAAACCUCGAGGCUUAACCUCGAGCCUGCAUUCGAUACUGGGCGGCUAGAGUCUGGUAGGGGGAUCUGGAAUUCCUGGUGUAGCGGUGGAAUGCGCAGAUAUCAGGAGGAACACCGGUGGCGAAGGCGGGAUCCUGGGCCAGUACUGACGCUGAGGCGCGAAAGCUAGGGGAGCGAACAGG
RNAcentral lists this ribosomal RNA (253 nucleotides) under uncultured bacterium. Its description in RNAcentral is "partial 16S ribosomal RNA". It matches the Rfam family "Bacterial small subunit ribosomal RNA", at positions 524 to 776 of the family's 1533-position model. The record is from RNAcentral.